CCUACGGGUGGCAGCAGUGAGGAAUAUUGGUCAAUGGACGCGAGCCUGAACCAGCCAAGCCGCGUGAAGGAUGACGGCUCUAUGGGUUGUAAACUUCUUUUAUAAGAGGAUAAAGUGAGGUACGUGUGCCUUGUUGAAAGUAUCGUACGAAUAAGGAUCGGCUAACUCCGUGCCAGCAGCCGCGGUAAUACGGAGGAUACGAGCGUUAUCCGGAUUUAUUGGGUUUAAAGGGAGCGUAGGUGGUUUGAUAAGUUAGUGGUGAAAGUUUGCGGCUCAACCGUAAAAUUGCAUUUGAUACUGGCAGUCUAGAGUAGAGUUGAGGUAGGCGGAAUUCGUGGUGUAGCGGUGAAAUGCUUAGAGAUCACGAAGAACUCCGAUUGCGAAGGCAGCUUACUAAACUACCACUGACAUUGAUGCUCGAAAGUGUGGGGAUCAAACAGGAUUAGAUACCCUUGUAGUC
Molecule: ribosomal RNA, 460 nt
Filed under: uncultured bacterium
Lineage: Bacteria
Description: partial 16S ribosomal RNA
Rfam family: Bacterial small subunit ribosomal RNA
Source: RNAcentral